RNAcentral lists this long non-coding RNA (1167 nucleotides) under Homo sapiens (human). RNAcentral's name for it is "HSALNT0360831". The record is from RNAcentral. Lineage: Eukaryota; Metazoa; Chordata; Mammalia; Primates; Hominidae.
CCACCUCCCUCAUCACAGCCACCCAGUGUGAUGCAUUCAGCAUGUGUCCUUGGAGAGAGAGGUAAUUUGAGUUUCCCCUGCUUCUGGAAGUUGUUUGGUUUAAAGCUGUCUUACCUAGCUCUCCUUGAAUGUCUGAUACAUUUUCAUCCUUUAAAAUGAAGCCGAUGGGUGACAGGAAGACGUGCUUCCAUGAAAGGCAGUGUUUCACUCCGGAACCUCAGCUCCCGCACGCUGGAUCCAGAUCCACAGCAUCCCCAGGACCUCUUCUCCCCUCUGGGUCCUGCCCCCAUCUCACUGGCUCCCAUCUCAGAUUCCCUGUGAGGCUCCACGCUUGGCUUCACAUGCAAAGUCUAGGGGUGAGGGGCCCCUCCCAGCCUCUCAGCUGGCAGUCCUGGGCCUGUGCUGGGAAACAUGCCCUCCCCGCCCGCAGCCGGAGGAGCCGCAUGGCUGUCUUGAGUGGAGGUCACACAUCCCCUCCCAGGGCCAGGGGAGGGAACGGUCACAGAUGUUCCUCAUGAGCCAAAAAUAAGCAAGGUCUGGCUGCGGUGCUGUCCACUGCCGGCUCCAGCACCAGGGGUUGCCCAAGAACCCCCUUGACUCCUUGGGGUAAGCAGCUCACUGCUGGCUGUCCUGUGUGUGAUGGGGAAGGGGGACUCAACCCGAGUGUGCAGACCUAUGAUGACCCCCGCUCCCACCUCCACGUCCCAUGGCCACGGCCCCUCCCUUCCAAGCUCCUUCUGCCUGAUGGGCAGCACCCCCUCCCGUCUGGAGUCUGCCGGGGCCCUUCCUGCUCUCCUUGUUAAUUUAUUUUCUGUCUUGGAGGGAAGCUGGGUGCACCUGCUCAGGUGGCCCCCUAGGGCCAGAAGACCUGUCAGUCACUUUCAAAUACAUGUUCUUUCCAGCUCUUCCUUGCCAAAGGUUCUAAAAACACUGUUGUCCGUCUCACCCAAAAAGCUAAGCUUCUGUCCAAUCCUUAACGGUAGCUAUAAAUGAGAAGCAUAAGCUUGGUUUCCUUCUAACAUCCGGCAAGUUAGAAGAUAAAACGUAUUUCUUCACUUAUUCAUCACAUAUUUGCAGGGCACCCCUACACGGGACAGCAGAGGUCCCAGGCCGGUGCUGCACCCGGAGCCAGGCUCGGAGCUGGCCGCGCGCCCUCAGCUGAAACUC